This 430-nucleotide ribosomal RNA is filed under the name bacterium. RNAcentral's name for it is "partial 16S ribosomal RNA". It matches the Rfam family "Bacterial small subunit ribosomal RNA", at positions 355 to 776 of the family's 1533-position model. The record is from RNAcentral.
UGGGGAAUAUUGGACAAUGGGCGCAAGCCUGAUCCAGCCAUGCCGCGUGUGUGAAGAAGGCCUUUUGGUUGUAAAGCACUUUAAGCGAGGAGGAGGCUACUUGGAUUAAUACUCUAGGAUAGUGGACGUUACUCGCAGAAUAAGCACCGGCUAACUCUGUGCCAGCAGCCGCGGUAAUACAGAGGGUGCGAGCGUUAAUCGGAUUUACUGGGCGUAAAGCGUGCGUAGGCGGCUUCUUAAGUCGGAUGUGAAAUCCCUGAGCUUAACUUAGGAAUUGCAUUCGAUACUGGGGAGCUAGAGUAUGGGAGAGGAUGGUAGAAUUCCAGGUGUAGCGGUGAAAUGCGUAGAGAUCUGGAGGAAUACCGAUGGCGAAGGCAGCCAUCUGGCCUAAUACUGACGCUGAGGUACGAAAGCAUGGGGAGCAAACAGG